Molecule: RNA transcript, 401 nt
Organism: Tribolium castaneum (red flour beetle)
Lineage: Eukaryota; Metazoa; Arthropoda; Insecta; Coleoptera; Tenebrionidae
Exons: 2
Source: RefSeq, a predicted model, not a curated record
AAAUGAGUUGAUAACAAAACAAAUUGUCCUCCAACGUUUAAUAUAUAAAUCUGAAAAUUUACAUGGUUCAUUAUUCAGUUCUUAGAACACGAAAAACAACCAACAAUGAAAUUCCUAAUUGUUUUGGCCGCUUUAAUGGCUCUCGCCACAGCCGAGCUCGUCGUAGGACCUAACGCAAGGACUACCAUUACUGGACCUGAUGGUAGUCAAAUUGUAGCUGACGAUUAUAGCGGCUCUGUCGCCAACUCUAACUUGGUGUACACCGCACCAUCAGUGCCGUUCGCCCGCUAUGUUCCCUAUCCAUUAGUGUCAUCAUACUACCCAUAUUACGGAAGAUAUGUGCACCUCGUCUGAGAUUCUCUUGUCAAGUUAAAACGAAAUAAAGCAGUUGUAGCAUGAAA